CAAUAGCGUAUAUUUAAGUUGUUGCAGUUAAAAAGCUCGUAGUUGGAUUUCGGUUAAGAGCGACCGGUCCGCCGUUUGGUGUGCACUGGUUGGUUUUAACUUCCUGUAGAGGACGUGCUCUGGGUUUAACGACCUGGACUCGGAGUCUACGUGGUUACUUUGAAAAAAUUAGAGUGUUCAAAGCGGGCUUACGCUUGAAUAUUUCAGCAUGGAAUAACACUAUAGGACUCCUGUCCUAUUUCGUUGGUCUCGGGACGGGAGUAAUGAUUAAGAGGAACAGUUGGGGGCAUUCGUAUUUCAUUGUCAGAGGUGAAAUUCGUGGAUUUAUGAAAGACGAACUUCUGCGAAAGCAUUUGCCAAGGAUGUUUUCAUUAA
Molecule: ribosomal RNA, 375 nt
Filed under: uncultured eukaryote
Lineage: Eukaryota
Description: partial 18S ribosomal RNA
Rfam family: Eukaryotic small subunit ribosomal RNA
Source: RNAcentral